RNAcentral lists this ribosomal RNA (355 nucleotides) under uncultured bacterium. RNAcentral describes it as "partial 16S ribosomal RNA". It matches the Rfam family "Bacterial small subunit ribosomal RNA", at positions 338 to 710 of the family's 1533-position model. The record is from RNAcentral.
CCUACGGGUGGCAGCAGUGGGGAAUAUUGCACAAUGGGGGAAACCCUGAUGCAGCGACGCCGCGUGAGUGAAGAAGUAUUUCGGUAUGUAAAGCUCUAUCAGCAGGGAAGAAAAUGACGGUACCUGAUUAAGAAGCCCCGGCUAACUACGUGCCAGCAGCCGCGGUAACACGUAGGGGGCAAGCGUUAUCCGGAUUUACUGGGUGGAAAGGGAGCGUAGACGGCAGCACAAGGCUGGGGUGAAAUGCCGGGGCUUAACCCCGGAACUGCAUUGGAAACUGUGCAGCUCGAGUGUAGGAGAGGUAAGUGGAAUUCCUGGUGUAGCGGUGAAAUGCGUAGAUAUUAGGAGGAACACC